Danio rerio (zebrafish) is the source of this 54-nucleotide non-coding RNA. The record is from Rfam. NCBI's taxonomy places the organism in Eukaryota, Metazoa, Chordata, Actinopteri, Cypriniformes, Danionidae.
CUUGUCCUCCUUUGUAAGUCGCUUUGGAUAAAAGUGUCUGCUAAAUUACUAAAU